AAAUUAAAAUGCAACAGCUUCUAUGUGGAGCCUUUUCUUUCCACAUAUGAAACAGUCAUACAGCCAGAAAUCUCUACCAUCAAAUGGAAAAAGAGCUGCACUGUAUCUAUACAGCAAGUGGUUGGCAUAUUGAACCUCUUACACUUUGCUUACAAGAGGUAUGCAGAAAAUUCAGGUAAUUUUAUUUUAUUUUAUUUAUACAGCAUUGAAUCACAACAACAGUUACCUCAAGGUGCUUUAUAUUAUAAGUUAGACCAUACAAUAAUACACAGAGAGAAAGCCCCCCAAAUCAUAUGACCCCCUAUGAGUAAGCGCUUUGGCUUUAUACUGUAAGUUAAAGACUACAAUGAUACAGAGAAACCCAACAAUCAGACGGCCACCUUUGAGCAAGUACUUGGCGACAGUAGGAAGGAAAAACUCCUUUUUAACAGGAAGAAACUUCCAGCACAACCAGACUUAGGGAUCAGCCAUCUGCUGGGACCGGGUGGAGUAACAGAGGGUAAUUCAGGGCAACAAAACAGCACAUUUUCUCAGAUUAAACGUUCAGAAAUUUUCUAAAUUUCAAAAAGACACAAAUUUAUUAGACAUAAAACAACAGCACCACUUUAGGUGGUACCAGUCAAUUAUCUCAUCAAAUUAUAGCAGACUUUGCAGUCAGGCAUUGGUAAUAUAAUCAGAAGUAUGCAUACUUUGAGAAUAGAAUACAGCUCCCUGAUUCGUACGUUCCCUCUGCAAGGCAAUGCGUGCGUGCAAGGGCAUUGCUGGUUGCAUCAUCCAUGUCCUCAAUAACAGCAACUGGAGGUUUAUCCAACACUUGCAAAGUGAAAGGAUGUGAUUUUGAGACAAUUUUGUUCUUAUUAAUUUUGUAUUUUUGUGCAAAUUUACCAUUUUUUGCAACAUUUUAUUUUAUUUUAUUUUUUACCUGCAGUGGUUCUGAUAUGUUUUAGUAAUAGUAAUUUAGUACGGUUGUUGUUACAACCCUCAUCAGCAACAGAAUUUAUAGUGGAAGCAAACAGCAUUUUUUUAAACAAAGAGGAGAAAAUAAAUCCUUUUUCCUUUUUAGCAAAUUUUGGUAAGUAUUUAACUGCUAAAAAGGAACACGCUUUCAUAAGGAGUUGGUGAAGACACAACAGGGUUUACAGAUGAACAUUUGCCAGGUGGCGAACUUAAAAUGAUAGCUUGGGUUGUUCUGUUUCUGCUAAACAAAGCGGCAACAUGUUGACAGCAGUGUUUGCCAGGUGUUCCAGCCAUCCUAUGCCAUCAUUUUCAUUCUGGUGCUUUUUAGAUUUUUAAGCAAUAUUUUGGGUAAUUUCAAAACUUUGUUAGUUUUUUACUCUAUGAAAUUCACGAUUCUAGACAUGGAGUUGACAAGUGUCAGUGCUGGGUCUCUGUGUCAUUUAAUGUUAUGCCUUUGUUUCAGAGUUGUAAAAUAAACUGUUGACAGCAAUAUUUUUGGGUGAUAACGUCCAGUCUCACACGGAUGCAGGCAGAAAAGUGAAUACUGACAUAAUGAGUGAAAAUAAGGUAAAACCAGGUGACUUCAACCAGGAGUGGGACUAGCCAAGCAAGAGGCUCAUUCCUUAAUGAGUGGGCACCCUUGCAGCAUGGAUGCGGUUUGGGCUACAGAAAGCUUGACACAGACAAGAAAACUGUGCUUGCAAAUCAUGCCACACACCAGCAACAGGCUCAGACACCACAAACCUUUGACCACCUACACAAGAACCACAUGAAAGAGUCUGGAGAGAGUUUACGAAUAAAAAAAAAAGUCAACGUUAGAAUCUUUGCUACCAUUUAAACUUAAAAUUACAAUCUUUACAUUUGUAUUUUAGAUCACAAUAUUUUACGUUAGGACAUCUAACCAUUUGUUUGUGAAGAGUGCUUCAAAUUUGAUAUACAGUAUUCUUUUAUUCAGAAUUAAACAUAUGAUGAUUCACGAUAUACUUGAAAUGUAUAAAAGAAAGCUUUUUCCAUGUGGUCUUUAUAUAAUCUAUUAAAUGACUGAACUGACAGAAAAUGUACCAUGUUGUUAUAUAUAUUAUUGUUAUGUUAUUGGGUUAUACUGGGAUAUGAGAUUUUGGUCACUGUGCUACUAUAUUAUGGCAAACUCCAUAUUAAGGAUAACAAAGCAGCAACUUUAUCUUCUGCUGCUACUUUUUGACUUAAAAUUGUGGUUCUGUGGUUGAUUCUCUUGGUUCCAUUCAGCCCAGCAUAUGCUUUUAUAGCAAACUGAUAGCCCAAUUAGCUUCUCACUACCUCUUUAAAUAGAUGGGCUGUGAUCACGGUGCUAUUCAAAUCUGUAAUAUAAAGUAAGGACACGGGUCAACGACUGGAAAUGUGUACAUAGUGAGGGUUUCAGCGCAACAUGGAAUAGAGUUGUCGAACAUUAGAGGGCAAAUUAGCCACAUGCUCGGGGUUUGGAAAUAAAACACUGCAGAGGAAUGUAGUGUGACCACACCUCACUGCCCUCGCUGUUCUUUUAUUUGACAUUAAGAUAAUGGCAGUGAAUGAAAGGAAUUCCCACAGAACUCUUUUACCCUUUUUUUCACCCUUCUAGUUCCUCCAGUUUAUUUCCCGUUUCACGUCCCUUUGCAGUUUUCUCUCGCUCCUUUCUCCCUUCCAUCUCUUCCUUAAUGUAUCCCCGUGGAUGAACAGAGCCGUAAAUCUCAGCCUUGUAUCUGUCCAUCACAUCUCAUAAAAGUCUUAUUCGUCCCAGCAGAAACUCGGACUCCUCUCCCCAUAAAUGUUUUUUGGGUGGCAAAGAUCCCUGUAAAUAAUUUGUUGCUAUGUAUUUUACAAAUCGUGCUCCCCGUGUGAUGUCCGUCUUGUUUCAAUCACUCCCCGGAACGGAUGAUUUGAUGCACAGCAUGCACAGAUUGUUACAAGGUGGACUGGGGUUUGAAUUGAAGGAUGGAUGCACGCAUGCAAGCGCAGAAAAAAGAGCGACUUUGCAUAAUGCAAAGGCAUUCUUUUGACCUGCGGGGUCAAGCUAUCUCCGCCUCUUAUUUGUGCUCCUAUGGGCAGUUCUGUUGCUUUUCCUUUUGGGAAUUUAUGGAUACAAAGAGUCUUUUUCUGCAGGUUCUGAAUCAUUUAUGAUUUUUGACCUCAUACCCAAUAAAUUCAACCAUAGAAAGAAACCUGGAUGAAAGGGUCUGUUUGCAUAAAAUCCUUCAGCUGGAUCAGCAAAGUUAGCUUCGAUUACACAAUAAAGACUCUACAUAUGGGGGUCAUUAAUGCAACAAAACCAAGAUUCAUUUUACACAUUCAAAUACAGAAAUGUACUUCUUUCUAAUUUUAACGAGUUUCCUUAUAUGUAUUUUCUCCUUUAUGUAUAAAAACAUAUGGUGCCUUUCAAAACCACAAAUUUAAGUCUUUAUUAUUUUUCAUAUAAUUUUGCAGAAAGGGUGGCAAUAUUAAUGUAAAAAGUAUGAAUUAGAGGAUGAUCAAAAUCAACAGACAUGAAUUGACCAAAAUAAAACAAUCAAAAAAAAUAUUAAUGCUUUAUUUGUUACUGUAUGGUAGGACAAUAUAUUGAAAUAUACAAAAAAUAUAAAGCCUGUGAUUAUUGCUUUUGCAGGAGAGAAGAAUUCUAAAGUUUCCAUUGAUAUUUGAAUAAUAAAUGAUCUGUUAUUUCUCCAUUUGAUUCUCCAGCCCUUGCUGUUUGUCAUGUUUCUCAACCAAAUGUGUCCCAUGAACUCAUUGCCAUUUAUUACAAUAUAUGCAAAUCCAGAAGAUGGCAGUGCAGAGCUUCAGCUGCUGUCAGUAAUACAGCCUGACAUUAUCUUGUGCUCCAGUUUGUGCUCAGUAGCGUCUCUGGAAGUCUUGAGGACUCAAGACUGAUAUGAAUGUAACUUUAGUGCUACCUGAAGUUGAUCCUAAUAUAACUGUAAGUAUGUAUGUUUUUGUGGUUGUUGUUGUUACUUUAGUUUUCUCAUUUUUUAUAUGUUCUAUAAGUUCAACUCUGUCCAUCAUUACAGAGAAUUGCAGGAACUAUCAGUCUAACUGUCUUUGUCUGCUUGGCUAUUAGCGGAGCAGACAGACCAUCAGAUUGAUGGAACCAGAGUGGAAUCAAUUAUUCUGGUUCACUAAUGGACAACCUCUAGCAUUCUGUUCAGAAUCAGACACACUUGAAACCCAACAGUUGGUGAAAAAAAACACCUGCUGGACUUCAUCUGGACAAACCUGGGAGGUUACGUCACUGAUCUCGAGUUGCUGUUUCUCCCAUCAAACCUCAAUGGAUAGCCACAGCGACCACAGCUUUUCCAGACCCUAGCGGCUGGCGGUUGGGAGCACGCUCAGUUGCUGCUGCUCUGUUUCCUGAACAUUUCAUGAUGCUUCACAAACCUGUGAGGGGCAGUAAAAAGUGAUAUUUCCAUUGCGACCCAUGUGUGUGGACGGUGGACAGGUCUAUAUGUGUAAGGAUGCCUAUGGUGGCCCCAUGAUCGGAAGGUCGGGGGUUCGAAUCCACUGAACGGCUACCCUGAGGUACCCCUGAGCAAGGUACCGUCCCAGUGGCUGCCCACUGCUUCACUGAGUGGGUUAAAUGCAGAGUGGAAUUUCCCCACGGGGAUCAAUAAAGUAUACAUUAUUAUUAUUAGGUCUUUCCGUAUGAAUAGGUGUGUAGUGGGUUAUUGUCUGCUUCUGUGUUUAUGAAUGUGUGUAGAUGUGACACUGGUUGCUCCAUCUGCGAUGACCUCAUUGUAAUAAUGACACCAUUAUUCUCUCUAACUAAGAUUCCAUCCUUAACUUCAGAUGACAGUUGAAGCUCCUUCAGCCCCAGCAUAUGUGUGUGUGUGUGUGUGUGUGUGUGUGUGUGUGUGUGUGUGUGUGUGUCAAAGACAUAUGCCCCAGGACACACAGCUGAGCCGGCUGGUGGAGGCUAACGUUUCACUACAUAA
Molecule: long non-coding RNA, 4895 nt
Organism: Astatotilapia calliptera (eastern happy)
Lineage: Eukaryota; Metazoa; Chordata; Actinopteri; Cichliformes; Cichlidae
Source: Ensembl